GCUUCGUCAAAGCAUGGUAAAAUUUAGUAUUCAGAUCUCCAGAUGAGUACCACAUAUUCCUGCUUUUCUGAUGCCAAUAUUCCUCCUCAUCCUUAUAGGUCUCCUGCAAUUUCCUAGAAACCUCAAUAAUCUCUUCUUGUGAUCUAUUAUUAUCCAUUUGAACUUCCUCAAGCGCCUGUUGAAGCUCUUGGAUUUUAUCAUUUCCAUAUGGUUGAUUAUCUUUACGCCAUGAAGAUAUUUCAUGACGACAAUUAUUAAUUUUUGUAACAAGAUCUCCUAAUUGUCCUUCAUGACUCUCCGUCCAACCGGCUACAAUCGACUCCAUGAGCCCCUCUUGACCAAUCCAUCUUUUGUCAAACCUAAAUUGCCCCCUUUUUUCCUUGUAAAAUUAUCCUCUAAGAAAGCCACAACUGGACGAUGGUCAGACCCCACCAUCUUUAGAUACUCUGUAUAAGAACAUGGAAAAAGCGUGUGUCAUUCUUCAUUUGCCAAAGCCCGAUCCAAGCGACAUCUGACCGUCACUGCUCAUUUUCCUUUGCCCCUUCUUCCUUGCCAAGACAAUGUAUUUCCUCGAGCCGAAAAUUCUAAUAAGCCACUAUUCUUUAUCAUAUUAUUGAAAUGGAUAAAUGAAGUUGUACAACGUAGAGAGCCCCCAUCCUUUUCAUGAUUCCCAGUGAUCUCGUUUAGAUCUCCAAUAAGAACCAAGGUUCCGAACGUGCUAAUCCAAAUCGAGUUAAUCUCUCCCAUAUCUGUUCUCUUAGCUUUUGCACCGGAUCCCCAUAAACAAAAGUAAGAAAAGCUUGUUUUCCUUUGACCACCGCCUCAA
RNAcentral lists this long non-coding RNA (826 nucleotides) under Brassica napus (rape). Its description in RNAcentral is "long non-coding RNA (BNAP_LNC026114)". Lineage: Eukaryota; Viridiplantae; Streptophyta; Magnoliopsida; Brassicales; Brassicaceae. The record is from RNAcentral.